GGGUAACCUGCCCUAUGCUGGGGAAUAACCUCGGGAAACUGAGAAUAAUGCCCCAUAGUCCACCAUGCCUGGAACGGUUGGUGGAUCAAAGCCCCGGCGGCAUAGGAUGGGCCUGCGGCGUAUCAGGUCGUAGGGGGUGUAACGUACCCUCUAGCCAUCGACGCGUACGGGUGUUGGGAGACAUAGCCCGGAGAUGGAUUCUGAGACACGAAUCCAGACCCUACGGGGUGCAGCAGGCGCGAAAACUUGGCAAUGCGAGAAAUCGUGACCAGGGAACUCCAAGUGGCUGGGGUAAGACCCAGUCUUUUCUUGACUCUUCAAAGGUCCUGGAAUAAGGGGUGGGUAAGGACGGUGCCAGCCGCCGCGGUAAUACCGGCGCCUCAAGUGGUAGUCGAUUUUAUUGGGCCUAAAACGUCCGUCGCCUGAUUGGUACAUUCGUGGGUAAAUCAACCAGCUCAACUGGUUGAAUUCUGCGAGCACGGCCAGACUUGGGACCGGGAGAGGUGUGGGGUACGCUCAGGGUAGGGGUAAAAUCCUGUCAUCCUGAGCGGACCACCUGUUGCGAAGGCUCCACACUAAAACGGAUCCGACAGUCAGGGACGAAGCCUAGGGGCACGAACCGGAUUAGAUACCCGGGUAGUCCUAGGUGUUAACGCUGUGGACUUGGUGUUGGGAAGGUUCCGAGCCUUCUCAGUGCCGAAGCGAAGGUGAUAAGUCCACUGCCUGGGGAGUACGGUCGCAAGGCUGAAACUU
This 753-nucleotide ribosomal RNA is filed under the name uncultured Candidatus Poseidoniales archaeon. RNAcentral describes it as "bacterial SSU rRNA". It matches the Rfam family "Archaeal small subunit ribosomal RNA", at positions 102 to 857 of the family's 1478-position model. Lineage: Archaea; Methanobacteriati; Thermoplasmatota; Candidatus Poseidoniia; Candidatus Poseidoniales. The record is from RNAcentral.